AUUGAACGCUGGCGGCAGGCCUAACACAUGCAAGUCGAGCGGAUGAAGGGAGCUUGCUCCUGGAUUCAGCGGCGGACGGGUGAGUAAUGCCUAGGAAUCUGCCUGGUAGUGGGGGAUAACGUCCGGAAACGGGCGCUAAUACCGCAUACGUCCUGAGGGAGAAAGGGGGGGAGCUUCGGACCUCACGCUAUCAGAUGAGCCUAUGUCGGAUUAGCUAGUUGGUGGGGUAAAGGCCUACCAAGGCGACGAUCCGUAACUGGUCUGAGAGGAUGAUCAGUCACACUGGAACUGAGACACGGUCCAGACUCCUACGGGAGGCAGCAGUGGGGAAUAUUGGACAAUGGGCGAAAGCCUGAUCCAGCCAUGCCGCGUGUGUGAAGAAGGUCUUCGGAUUGUAAAGCACUUUAAGUUGGGAGGAAGGGCAGUAAGUUAAUACCUUGCUGUUUUGACGUUACCAACAGAAUAAGCACCGGCUAACUUCGUGC
Molecule: ribosomal RNA, 485 nt
Filed under: uncultured bacterium
Lineage: Bacteria
Description: partial 16S ribosomal RNA
Rfam family: Bacterial small subunit ribosomal RNA
Source: RNAcentral